GGUAGCGGGCUUGCUCGCGAUAGCAUCACCUCGGUGCAUCAGUUACACCGGGUUGCCUGUAUCGCGAGCAAGCCCGCCCCC
RNAcentral lists this unclassified non-coding RNA (81 nucleotides) under Pseudomonas mucidolens. Lineage: Bacteria; Pseudomonadati; Pseudomonadota; Gammaproteobacteria; Pseudomonadales; Pseudomonadaceae. The record is from RNAcentral.